GGUUUUGGUUAAAUUAUGGUUUAAGUCUAUUUUGAUUAUCAUGUCGUGUGCCAUGGUUGAUUAUAAAUUGUGUUAUGUGCUUGUAUUCGGAGGUGAUAUGGAUGAAUUGGUUAUGUUAUAUAUGUUUAAUCUUAGUCUGAGCUUAUAUUGAGAGUGUAUCCAAAUUGCCUGAUGUUUGUGAAGCUUAUUAUGUGUUUUGGCCAUAUGAUAUAUAAUGGUUGUUAAUUGAGCUUAAAUAGAUCAUGUGUUAGUUAGGUAAAAAUCAAGAC
Molecule: long non-coding RNA, 269 nt
Filed under: Gossypium barbadense (sea-island cotton)
Lineage: Eukaryota; Viridiplantae; Streptophyta; Magnoliopsida; Malvales; Malvaceae
Description: long non-coding RNA (GBAR_LNC004563)
Source: RNAcentral